AAGUUGCCUUUGAAACAUAAAAAUAGUAGUAAGGGUAAUUCUUCUGUCCAUUGGCCGGUGGCGCCUGAGUUGCUGGUAUAUUGAUAAUAUUAGGAGGUGUAGGACAAUUAGAAGAAUGAAAGGAGGAGGAGGAGCACCAGUAUAUGUAAUGUAAGAUGGUGGUGGAGAUUUAGGUGAUGGCUGUGAUGAGGAGGGUGAUGGCGAAUGGGGAGAAGACUGAGAUGGUGAGGGGCGGAGUGGGGCGAAGAGUGGUGGCGGUGGUGGUGCUUGUACUAGUAGCGAUGAUG
RNAcentral lists this long non-coding RNA (287 nucleotides) under Nicotiana benthamiana. RNAcentral's name for it is "long non-coding RNA (NBEN_LNC039968)". Lineage: Eukaryota; Viridiplantae; Streptophyta; Magnoliopsida; Solanales; Solanaceae. The record is from RNAcentral.